CAGUAGCCGCGGUAAUACGGAGGGAGCUAGCGUUGUUCGGAAUUACUGGGCGUAAAGCGCACGUAGGCGGCUUUGUAAGUUAGAGGUGAAAGCCUGGAGCUCAACUCCAAAACUGCCUUUAAGACUGCAUCGCUUGAAUCCAGGAGAGGUGAGUGGAAUUCCGAGUGUAGAGGUGAAAUUCGUAGAUAUUCGGAAGAACACCAGUGGCAAAGGCGGCUCACUGGACUGGUAUUGACGCUGAGGUGCGAAAGCGUGGGGAGCAAACAGGAUUAGAUACCCGUGUAGUCCCUGUCUCUUAUAC
RNAcentral lists this ribosomal RNA (301 nucleotides) under uncultured bacterium. Its description in RNAcentral is "partial 16S ribosomal RNA". It matches the Rfam family "Bacterial small subunit ribosomal RNA", at positions 509 to 807 of the family's 1533-position model. The record is from RNAcentral.